AACUUUCAACAACGGAUCUCUUGGCUCUCGCAUCGAUGAAGAACGNNNNCAGCGAAAUGCGAUACGUAAUGUGAAUUGCAGAAUUCAGUGAAUCAUCGAAUCUUUGAACGCACCUUGCGCCCCUUGGCAUUCCGAGGGGCACACCCGUUUGAGUGU
RNAcentral lists this ribosomal RNA (156 nucleotides) under uncultured Russula. Its description in RNAcentral is "5.8S ribosomal RNA". It matches the Rfam family "5.8S ribosomal RNA". From Rfam's summary of the family: 5.8S ribosomal RNA (5.8S rRNA) is a component of the large subunit of the eukaryotic ribosome. It is transcribed by RNA polymerase I as part of the 45S precursor that also contains 18S and 28S rRNA. Lineage: Eukaryota; Fungi; Basidiomycota; Agaricomycetes; Russulales; Russulaceae. The record is from RNAcentral.